AUCUUUGAUGUGUGAUAUCCUGGUGGAUUAAAUAACUUCUAUGGAAUGAUGACUUAAAAAUACUACUUACGGAACCCUAGGUCUUUGUGAUUUACGUCUCCCUCCUCUGUCAUACUUUUCCUGCUCUAAUUUUUGCACAUUUUGUUGCCAUUUAAAAGCCACGCCUCUUACUAAACCUUUUGCAACAACUUGUUUUUGUAAAGGCUUAUUCUGUUUGUACUCAUAUUUCAAUAUUUAGUGAGAUACAUAAUAAAAAUGACCAGUAGAAAUCCGGGGACGGAAACAGAUUGGGACAGAAGUGCCCAGGUGUGUUUGAGCAGACCUCAGGUACUAACUGGUGUCAGCCUGUGGGUUUUGAGGAGGUCGUAGAAUGUGCGGGUCAGUUAAGCAAAGGCUGCUGGGGGAGCUUGUCUAGUAAUGCACCACGUCUCUUGUGACAGGCUUUAGACUUUGUUCAACGUUGAGAGAUGCAGUAGAAUUAAGAAAAGAUGAGUGCUAUGUCUGUCAUUACCUGUAGGCUGGUACCCCUUCAUAUUGGCCGUUGUAGUGUCUAGAGGCUUUCUCUUUCGUCACAGGAUCAGCUGUGAAUCUCUGAUUGUCCAGUAGCUCUUCUCCAACUGCUCAUUCCAGGGAAGGGGAAAGA
This 643-nucleotide long non-coding RNA is filed under the name Bos taurus (domestic cattle). RNAcentral describes it as "long non-coding RNA NONBTAT020085". Lineage: Eukaryota; Metazoa; Chordata; Mammalia; Artiodactyla; Bovidae. The record is from RNAcentral.